Legionella jordanis is the source of this 363-nucleotide non-coding RNA. It matches the Rfam family "Bacterial RNase P class A". Rfam says of the family: Ribonuclease P (RNase P) is a ubiquitous endoribonuclease, found in archaea, bacteria and eukarya as well as chloroplasts and mitochondria. Its best characterised activity is the generation of mature 5'-ends of tRNAs by cleaving the 5'-leader elements of precursor-tRNAs. Lineage: Bacteria; Pseudomonadati; Pseudomonadota; Gammaproteobacteria; Legionellales; Legionellaceae. The record is from Rfam.
GAAGUCGGUCAGGCAAUCGCUCUUUGCUCAGUCAAGGAGAGGAAAGUCCGGGCUCCAUAGGGUAAAGUGCCAGGUAACGCCUGGGAGGCGUGAGCCUACGGAAAGUGCCACAGAAAAUAUACCGCCUGUUGCUUUUGCUGCAGGUAAGGGUGAAAUGGUGCGGUAAGAGCGCACCGCGCGACUGGCAACAGUCGUGGCAGGGUAAACCCCACUCGGAGCAAGACCAAAUAGGAAUCCAACUGGCUUUGGCCGGUAAGUAUGACCCAUACUGGAUUCGGGUAGGUCGCUUGAGGCAUGCGGUGACGCAUGUCCCAGAUGAAUGGUUGUCCAAGACAGAACCCGGCUUAUCGACCGGCUUUAAUU